GAGUUUGAUCAUGGUUCAGGACGAACGCUGGCGGCGUGCCUAACACAUGCAAGUCGAACGGAGAAUUUCAAGAGGUAACUUGAGAAAUUCUUAGUGGCGGACGGGUGAGUAACGCGUGGGUAACCUACCCAACAGACCGGGACAACACUUGGAAACGAGUGCUAAUACCGGAUAACCUAUGACUCCGGCAUCGGAGAGAUAGGAAAGGUGGCCUCUAUUUAUAAGCUACCGUUGUAGGAUGGACCCGCGUCUGAUUAGCUAGUUGGUGGGGUAACGGCCUACCAUAGCGACGAUCAGUAGCCGGCCUGAGAGGGUGAACGGCCACACUGGGACUGAGACACGGCCCAGACUCCUACGGGAGGCAGCAGUGGGGAAUCUUCCGCAAUGGACGAAAGUCUGACGGAGCAACGCCGCGUGUAUGAUGAAGGCCUUCGGGUUGUAAAGUACUGUCAUUGGGGAAGAAUGGUCGCUAUGAAAAUAUUGUAGCGACAUGACGGUACCCAAGAAGGAAGCCCCGGCUAACUACGUGCCAGCAGCCGCGGUAAUACGUAGGGGGCAAGCGUUGUCCGGAAUCAUUGGGCGUAAAGGGCGCGUAGGCGGAUAGUUAAGUCCGAUGUGAAAUACCAAGGCUCAACCUUGGGGCUGCAUCGGAACUGGUUAUCUUGAGGACAGGAGAGGAAAGUGGAAUUCCACGUGUAGCGGUGAAAUGCGUAGAUAUGUGGAGGAACACCAGUGGCG
RNAcentral lists this ribosomal RNA (738 nucleotides) under uncultured Peptococcaceae bacterium. Its description in RNAcentral is "bacterial SSU rRNA". It matches the Rfam family "Bacterial small subunit ribosomal RNA", at positions 9 to 717 of the family's 1533-position model. Lineage: Bacteria; Bacillati; Bacillota; Clostridia; Eubacteriales; Peptococcaceae. The record is from RNAcentral.